UACGUAGGGUGCAAGCGUUGUCCGGAAUUAUUGGGCGUAAAGAGCUCGUAGGCGGUUUGUCGCGUCUGCUGUGAAAGCCCGGGGCUCAACCCCGGGUCUGCAGUGGGUACGGGCAGACUUGAGUGCGGUAGGGGAGAUUGGAAUUCCUGGUGUAGCGGUGGAAUGCGCAGAUAUCAGGAGGAACACCGAUGGCGAAGGCAGAUCUCUGGGCCGUUACUGACGCUGAGGAGCGAAAGCAUGGGGAGCGAACAGGAUUAGAUACCCCU
Molecule: ribosomal RNA, 266 nt
Filed under: uncultured prokaryote
Description: partial 16S ribosomal RNA
Rfam family: Bacterial small subunit ribosomal RNA
Source: RNAcentral